This 484-nucleotide ribosomal RNA is filed under the name uncultured Sphingobacteriales bacterium. RNAcentral's name for it is "bacterial SSU rRNA". It matches the Rfam family "Bacterial small subunit ribosomal RNA", at positions 897 to 1382 of the family's 1533-position model. The record is from RNAcentral. Lineage: Bacteria; Pseudomonadati; Bacteroidota; Sphingobacteriia; Sphingobacteriales.
AAACUUAAAGGAAGUUGACGGGGGCCCGCACAAGCGGAGGAACAUUGUGGUUUAAUUCGAUGAUACGCGAGGAACCUUACCUGGGCUUAAAUGGGGAGUGACAGCUGGCGAAAGUUGGUUUUCUUCGGACACUCUUCAAGGUGCUGCAUGGUUGUCGUCAGCUCGUGCCGUGAGGUGUCGGGUUAAGUCCCAUAACGAGCGCAACCCUUACUGUUAGUUGCCAGCGGGUCAAGCCGGGAACUCUAACGGGACUGCCACCGUAAGGUGAGAGGAAGGUGGGGAUGACGUCAAAUCAGCACGGCCCUUAUGUCCAGGGCUACACACGUGUUACAAUGGUCGGUACAAAGGGCAGCUACACCGCGAGGUGAUGCUAAUCUCUAAAGCCGGUCUCAGUUCGGAUCGAAGUCUGCAACCCGACUUCGUGAAGUUGGAUUCGCUAGUAAUCGCGUUUCAACAGAACGCGGUGAAUACGUCCCUGCUCCUU